GGGUCAUUAGGUUGGUCGUGCCACCGGUACGUACUGGUCUCACUGAUUCCUCCUUCCUGAAGAACCGUAAUGCCAUUAAUUUGGCGUUGCGGGGAAACAGGACUGUUACUUUGAAAAAAUUAGAGUGUUUAAAGCAAGCUAACGCUUGAAUACAUUAGCAUGGAAUAAUGAAAUAGGACGAUCGAUCCUAUUUUGUUGGUUUCUAGGAUUGACGUA
This 216-nucleotide ribosomal RNA is filed under the name Glomeromycotina sp. RNAcentral describes it as "partial small subunit ribosomal RNA". The stretch from base 40 to 216 matches the Rfam family "Eukaryotic small subunit ribosomal RNA", at positions 686 to 864 of the family's 1831-position model. The record is from RNAcentral. Lineage: Eukaryota; Fungi; Glomeromycota.